CGGGCAGGGCUGCUGGGGUUCUGGCGGUUUUGCCCUGUCUGCCUGGUGUGACUCCCUGGAGGAGACGGGCCGUGGAGAAUGGUGGAGAGUGGGAGCUGGGCAGGAUCUGGCUUCGGGCUUGCAGGUAAGCGACGUGGGCGAUCUGGAUGGAGGACACAGAUGCACACUUCGUUGGCCUCUGGAAUGAGGGCGAAGACUUUCCCACAAAGAACGGGGUGUGUUUCAGAAGGAAACCCACUUUUCCCAUUUGAGUCUCUUAAUAGAAAUGGUCUUCUCUGUCUUUGCAGUUUCCGUUGGCUUCCAGUGGUGACCUGGGUGCAGAAGGGAUUGCAUUUCCUUUGUCUCUAAGAAGGACAGAAGGCAGGGCCGGCCCAGAGCCCCCGGCCCUAACUCAGCCGGAGCCCAGCAUCUUCCCCCAAACUUGCGGAAGUGAAAGCAGGUGUUCCCGCCGGCUCUGAUGACAUCGGGGUAGGGGCACACUUGGGAGUUUCGAAUUAGCUUCUGAACUUGGGAACAGCUUUACAGCACCUGGGCCCUGGGGUCUCCGAGACCACCCUGCAGAUUUAAGAGGAAACGCAUCCUGUGCCUCACCAACCCCUAAGAGACAAGAGACGGACCCCUUGGACCCCGGGAGAGGAGAGUAUGUUGGGGGGCUGAUCGCUGACCCCACCACACAUGCAUUUCCUCCAUACACGAAAACCUGCUUAGCUGACAUUGAAUGCAACUCUUGGGUGUAAUUAUUUUCCCUAAAAAUGUGGAAAGAGUUUUAGAAUCCGCCUUUGAAAUGAUUAGGAAGGUUGAUUUCACAGUUUUCCCCUCGUCUUCUGGAGUCAAUAUUAUGAUCUUUUCUUCUUAGAUUUUAAACAUGUCUGAUGGCCCCUGAGAAUUCCCGCGAGCCCACUGGUCUGGGUUGGAAGAGGCGGGAGAGGGAGGCGGAGGGGGUGUGUUCGGACAAGGGUGUGGGGACGGAACCGCUCGCCCAGGAACGUCUGAUCGCUCGCCCGCCUUCGCAGCCCCAGCCUCCGCCUCUGCAGUCUUCCCGCCGGUCCGCAGGGUCCCCGGGGAGCCCGCCCGCUCCCCCAUCCCAGGCUGCAGCGCGUGAGUGGGAGGCUGUGGGUCCCCCGAAGUCCAGAUCAAAGUGUGGUGGACGGGAUGACUCCCAGAACUGGAGAAAAUGGAUGCAGAGCCUUGGGGCCGGCGCUGUGGCGUAGCGGGUAAAGCCGCCGUCUGCGGUGCUGGCAUCCUAUAUGGGCGUCUGUCGGAGUCCCGGCUGCUCCACCUCUGAUCCCCGCCUCCUGCUCAUGGCCUAAGAAAACAGCAGAAGACUGCCCAA
This 1333-nucleotide long non-coding RNA is filed under the name Oryctolagus cuniculus (rabbit). RNAcentral describes it as "lncRNA (ENSOCUG00000034189.1)". The record is from RNAcentral. Lineage: Eukaryota; Metazoa; Chordata; Mammalia; Lagomorpha; Leporidae.